This 441-nucleotide ribosomal RNA is filed under the name uncultured bacterium. RNAcentral describes it as "partial 16S ribosomal RNA". It matches the Rfam family "Bacterial small subunit ribosomal RNA", at positions 338 to 795 of the family's 1533-position model. The record is from RNAcentral.
CCUACGGGAGGCUGCAGUGGGGGAUAUUGCACAAUGGGGGAAACCCUGAUGCAGCGACGCCGCGUGGGUGAAGAAGUAUUUCGGUAUGUAAAGCCCUAUCAGUAGGGAAGAAAGGAGACGGUACAUGACCAAGAAGCAUCGACUAACUACGUGCCAGCAGCCGCGGUACUAUGGAGGGGGCGAGCGUUAUCCGGAUUUACUGGGCGUAAAGGGAGCGUAGACGGCUGUGCAAGCUCGGAGUGAAAGGCCGGGGCCCAACCCCGGGACUGCUCUUGAAACUGUGCGGCUGGAGUGCGGGAGGGGCAGGCGGAAUUCCUGGUGUAGCAGUGAAAUGCGUAGAUAUCAGGAGGAACACCGGCGGCGAAGGCGGCCUGCUGGACCGCGACUGACGUUGAGGCUCGAAAGCGUGGGGAGCGAACAGGAUUAGAUACCCUUGUAGUC